AAUGGAAAUGGUGGGACAAAAAAUGGUAUAAUCUCGUAAUGAUUACAAUAUCAUGACGGGUUCACUGAGCUGAUAUCCAUCUCGGCAAUGACUUAUGGAUGGAUGAGCCAUCAUGUAACUUGGAAAGAAACCUGUUAGAUUUUUUUUUCACAUUCAAUAUUAGCCAAAUGCCUCGUCAUCUAAUUAGUGAUGCACAUGAAUGGAUGAACGAAAUUCCCGCUGUCCGUACCUACUAUCCAGCGAAACCACAGCGAAGGGAACGGGCUUGGUAGCAUCAGCGGUGAAAGAAGACCCUGUUGAGCUUGACUCUAGUCUGGCGCUGUGAAGAGACAUGAGAGAUGUAGAAUAAGUGGGAGGUCGCGUGCACACUUGGUGCAGCAGGGCAACCCGCCUGCUGCUGUCCCGGCCGUCGGUGAAAUACCAUUACUCUGAUCGUUUUUUCACUUACCUGGUGAGUCGGGGGGGCAAGCCCCGAGCGGGGCUCUUGCUUCUGACACCAAGUGCUCAUCAUGCGCCAGGCACGACCAGCUCCAGGGACAGCAGCAGGUGGGGAUUUUGACUGGGGCAGUACACCUGUUUAAAGCGUAACUCACGUGUCCUAAGGUGAGCUGAGGGAGGACAGAAAGCUCCCGUGGAGCAGAAGGGCAAAAGCUCGCUUGAUCUUGAUUUUCAGUACGAAUACAGACCAUGAAAGUGGGGCCUCACGAUCCUUCUGGCUUUUUGGGUUUUAAGGUGGCAGAAAAGUUACCACAGGGAUAACUGGCUUGUGGCAGCCAAGCGUUCAUAACGACAUCGCUUUUUGAUCCUUCGAUGUCUGCUCUUCCUAUCAUUGUGAAGCAGAAUUCACCAAGCAUUGCAUUGUUCACUCACUAAUAGGGAACGUGAGCUAGGUUGAGACCAUUGUGAGGUUAUUUCAUGGUAAUUCCUCAUUC
This 932-nucleotide non-coding RNA is filed under the name Merops nubicus (carmine bee-eater). RNAcentral describes it as "Eukaryotic large subunit ribosomal RNA". It matches the Rfam family "Eukaryotic large subunit ribosomal RNA", at positions 2243 to 3010 of the family's 3401-position model. The record is from Rfam by way of RNAcentral. Lineage: Eukaryota; Metazoa; Chordata; Aves; Coraciiformes; Meropidae.